UGGAUCCACACUUUGAUCAUGGCUCAGGAUAAACGCUGGCGGCGCACAUAAGACAUGCAAGUCGAACGGACUUAACUCAUUCUUUUAGAUUGAGAGCGGUUAGUGGCGGACUGGUGAGUAACACGUAAGCAACCUGCCUAUCAGAGGGGAAUAACAGUGAGAAAUCAUUGCUAAUACCGCAUAUGCUCACAGUACCACAUGGUACAGUGAGGAAAGGAGCAAUCCGCUGAUAGAUGGGCUUGCGUCUGAUUAGCUAGUUGGUGGGGUAACGGCCUACCAAGGCGACGAUCAGUAGCCGGACUGAGAGGUUGAACGGCCACAUUGGGACUGAGAUACGGCCCAGACUCCUACGGGAGGCAGCAGUCGGGAAUAUUGCGCAAUGGAGGAAACUCUGACGCAGUGACGCCGCGUAUAGGAAGAAGGUUUUCGGAUUGUAAACUAUUGUCGUUAGGGAAGAUAAAAGACUGUACCAAGGAGGAAGCCCCGGCUAACUAUGUGCCAGCAGCCGCGGUAAUACAUAGGGGGCAAGCGUUAUCCGGAAUUAUUGGGUGUAAAGGGUGCGUAGACGGAAGAACAAGUUGGUUGUGAAAUCCCUCGGCUCAACUGAGGAACUGCAACCAAAACUAUUCUCCUUGAGUGUCGGAGAGGAAAGUGGAAUUCCUAGUGUAGCGGUGAAAUGCGUAGAUAUUAGGAGGAACACCAGUGGCGAAGGCGACUUUCUGGACGAUAACUGACGUUGAGGCACGAAAGUGUGGGGAGCAAACAGGAUUAGAUACCCUGGUAGUCCACACUGUAAACGAUGGAUACUAGGUGUAGGGUGUAUUAAGCACUCUGUGCCGCCGCUAACGCAUUAAGUAUCCCACCUGGGGAGUACGGCCGCAAGGUUGCAACUCAAAGGAAUUGACGGA
Molecule: ribosomal RNA, 908 nt
Filed under: uncultured Bacillota bacterium
Lineage: Bacteria; Bacillati; Bacillota
Description: bacterial SSU rRNA
Rfam family: Bacterial small subunit ribosomal RNA
Source: RNAcentral